UGGAGACAAACAUCUUGCCAUUUACAGUAGAUCUCUGAAACAUGUAGUUACCCUCCAGCUAUCCAUCCACAAUGCUCAGACCAGUUUGGUUGCUUACCUCCUGAACUGAGGAAUGGGAGCACUGUAACAGACCAGGGAAGACUCAACUCCAAACAAGGUUCAGUACUGUAACAGACCAGGGAACACAUCACCCUGAAGCAGGUUCAGUACUGUAACAGACCAGGGAACACAUCACCCUGAAGCAGGUUCAGUACUGUAACAGACCAGGGACAGCCUCUAGGGAAUACAUCACCCUGAAGCAGGUUCAGUACUG
Oncorhynchus tshawytscha (Chinook salmon) is the source of this 313-nucleotide long non-coding RNA. Lineage: Eukaryota; Metazoa; Chordata; Actinopteri; Salmoniformes; Salmonidae. The record is from Ensembl.